GCCCCGCAAGGGGAGCGGCAGACGGGUGAGUAACGCGUGGGAAUCUACCCAUCUCUACGGAACAACUCCGGGAAACUGGAGCUAAUACCGUAUACGUCCUUUUGGAGAAAGAUUUAUCGGAGAUGGAUGAGCCCGCGUUGGAUUAGCUAGUUGGUGGGGUAAUGGCCUACCAAGGCGACGAUCCAUAGCUGGUCUGAGAGGAUGAUCAGCCACAUUGGGACUGAGACACGGCCCAAACUCCUACGGGAGGCAGCAGUGGGGAAUAUUGGACAAUGGGCGCAAGCCUGAUCCAGCCAUGCCGCGUGAGUGAUGAAGGCCCUAGGGUUGUAAAGCUCUUUCAACGGUGAAGAUAAUGACGGUAACCGUAGAAGAAGCCCCGGCUAACUUCGUGCCAGCAGCCGCGGUAAUACGAAGGGGGCUAGCGUUGUUCGGAAUUACUGGGCGUAAAGCGCACGUAGGCGGAUAUUUAAGUCAGGGGUGAAAUCCCGGGGCUCAACCCCGGAACUGCCUUUGAUACUGGGUAUCUCGAGUCCGAGAGAGGUGAGUGGAAUUCCGAGUGUAGAGGUGAAAUUCGUAGAUAUUCGGAGGAACACCAGUGGCGAAGGCGGCUCACUGGCUCGGUACUGACGCUGAGGUGCGAAAGCGUGGGGAGCAAACAGGAUUAGAUACCCUGGUAGUCCACGCCGUAAACGAUGGAAGCUAGCCGUUGGCAAGUUUACUUGUCGGUGGCGCAGCUAACGCAUUAAGCUUCCCGCCCUGGGGAGUACGGUCGCAAGAUUAAAACUCAAAGGAUUUGACGGGGGCCCCGCACAAGCGG
Molecule: ribosomal RNA, 817 nt
Filed under: uncultured Mesorhizobium sp.
Lineage: Bacteria; Pseudomonadati; Pseudomonadota; Alphaproteobacteria; Hyphomicrobiales; Phyllobacteriaceae
Description: bacterial SSU rRNA
Rfam family: Bacterial small subunit ribosomal RNA
Source: RNAcentral